GUAUGUGUUUGUCGGUGUUGUUAGUUGCAUGUCAGUUUACCUGUGGCUCCUUCUCUUGUUGGAUUUUUGGAACUCACCCAUGUCGACACAACAGAAAACAACAUUAUACUUGUGGAGGAUAGCGACACGGCCAGAGACACCCAGCAGGCUGAAAGCAGCAGCUGUACUACAGUUUUAUAGAUCUCAGCUUGUUUUUUUGAUUGGCAUGUGAGAGGGAGGCGUCCUUCAGCCCAGGACGUGAUCUAAACGUUUUACUUUAACUCUCCACUUCAAGGAUUUGUACUUUUGAAGCAGUUUAAGUGUUCCAUUUUUAAUCUUAUUUUGAAAAUACUUUGUACAUUUUGGUGCGAUUUAUGUAAAGUGCUUCUCCUUAUUAUUAGUGAAAUACCAUCAGUCAUAUCUCUUUUAGAUUAAGAGUUAUCUGUAGCAGCACAUUUUAAUACCUUUUUAAGCAAUGGUUUGAAUCCUCAUUUUUAACAUUAUUAUCCAAACAUUUUUGAUCAAAGGUGUGUGUGAUGUUUUUAAAGUCUUCUAAAGUAUAUUUUAUCAAAAGAAAAGAAAAGGCCUGCAUAAACUCAGUCUCUCUUCUUUUUAACAUGCACGUCUGACUUUUAGCAAGUUUUAAAUGAGACUACACUGAACAUAUUAAUGGGAAUGUGUAAUUAUUGUAUGUAUUAGUAGUUAUUAUAACCAGCUGGUGGUUUUAACACCUUACUUUGGUGCUGCAUUUAUUUACAACCUGUAACUUCCUGUUUUUA
Non-coding RNA from Labrus bergylta (ballan wrasse), 758 nucleotides. NCBI's taxonomy places the organism in Eukaryota, Metazoa, Chordata, Actinopteri, Labriformes, Labridae. The record is from RefSeq and is a predicted model, not a curated record.